GCGGGGGUUGCCGAGCCUGGCCAAAGGCGGGGGACUCAAGAUCCCCUCCCGAAGGGGUUCGUGGGUUCAAAUCCCACCCCCCGCA
RNAcentral lists this transfer RNA (85 nucleotides) under Archaeoglobus profundus. RNAcentral's name for it is "tRNA-Leu". It matches the Rfam family "tRNA". From Rfam's summary of the family: Transfer RNA (tRNA) molecules are approximately 80 nucleotides in length. Lineage: Archaea; Methanobacteriati; Methanobacteriota; Archaeoglobi; Archaeoglobales; Archaeoglobaceae. The record is from RNAcentral.